UACGUAGGUGGCGAGCGUUGUUCGGAUUUAUUGGGCGUAAAGGGUCUGUAGGAGGUUUGUUAAAUACGGGGUGAAAUCCCGAAGCUCAACUUCGGAAUUGCCUUGUAGACUGACGGACUAGAGUAUCGGAGAGGUAAGCGGAAUACCAGGUGUAGCGGUGGAAUGCGUAGAUAUCUGGUAGAACACCAAAAGCGAAGGCAGCUUGCUGGACGAAAACUGACUCUGAAAGACGAAAGCAUGGGGAGCAAACAGGAUUAGAUACCCUGGUAGUCCAUGCCGUAAACGUUGUCAACUUGAUGUGGGGGGAUUUAGUCCUCUCCGUAUCGAAGCUAACGCGAUAAGUUGACCGCCUGGGGACUACGGCCGCAAGGCUAAA
This 376-nucleotide ribosomal RNA is filed under the name uncultured bacterium. RNAcentral describes it as "bacterial SSU rRNA". It matches the Rfam family "Bacterial small subunit ribosomal RNA", at positions 524 to 898 of the family's 1533-position model. The record is from RNAcentral.